AGAAGUUUAGGUUAAACAGACCAAGAGCCUUCAAAGCUCUAAGCAAACCAUAUCGGUUUAACUUCUG
This 67-nucleotide transfer RNA is filed under the name Cryptoprocta ferox (fossa). RNAcentral describes it as "tRNA-Trp". Lineage: Eukaryota; Metazoa; Chordata; Mammalia; Carnivora; Eupleridae. The record is from RNAcentral.